This is a non-coding RNA of Pelobates cultripes (western spadefoot toad), 213 nucleotides long. The record is from the annotation of a GenBank genome assembly. Lineage: Eukaryota; Metazoa; Chordata; Amphibia; Anura; Pelobatidae.
AAUAAUAUAUAUUGUGAUGGCAAAAUCCACAGAUACCCAGAGACUGCUUAAUACCAGCGAAAUUCCAUGGAGAGAUACAUGUUGGGGAGAAAGGGGGUGGUGGGGAGAGGGGGGAAUCUUUUGAAAGAUUGCUAAAAGGACAUAUCAAGAUGAACAGGUCCUUCACUGGCUCCUGGCUCCAUCCAGGAGAAGCAGCAUCCGCCUCCAGUGCCC